AUGUCCUGAACGGAAAGAUCCCUUUGGGAACUCCUCAGGAGGGGGACCUAGGCCAGAGGCUCCUCUAGCAUCUCACUGGCGAUUCCAAGGCCCAGGGUGGGCUUG
This is a non-coding RNA of Equus caballus (horse), 105 nucleotides long. Lineage: Eukaryota; Metazoa; Chordata; Mammalia; Perissodactyla; Equidae. The record is from Rfam.